RNAcentral lists this ribosomal RNA (532 nucleotides) under uncultured bacterium. Its description in RNAcentral is "bacterial SSU rRNA". It matches the Rfam family "Bacterial small subunit ribosomal RNA", at positions 355 to 896 of the family's 1533-position model. The record is from RNAcentral.
UAGGGAAUCUUCCACAAUGGACGCAAGUCUGAUGGAGCAACGCCGCGUGAGGGAAGAAGGCCUUCGGGUUGUAAACCGCUUUCAGCAGGGACGAGGCCGCAAGGUGACGGUACCUGCAGAAGAAGCCCCGGCUAACUACGUGCCAGCAGCCGCGGUAAUACGUAGGGAGCAAGCGUUGUCCGGAUUUACUGGGUGUAAAGGGUGCGUAGGCGGCUCUGCAAGUCAGGUGUGAAAACUAUGGGCUUAACCCAUAGACUGCAUUUGAAACUGUGGGGCUUGAGUGAAGUAGAGGCAGGCGGAAUUCCUAGUGUAGCGGUGAAAUGCGUAGAUAUUAGGAGGAACACCAGUGGCGAAAGCGGCUUUCUGGACGACAACUGACGCUGAGGCGCGAAAGCCAGGGGAGCAAACGGGAUUAGAUACCCCGGUAGUCCUGGCCGUAAACGAUGGGUACUAGGUGUAGGAGGUAUCGACCCCUUCUGUGCCGGAGUUAACGCAAUAAGUAUCCCGCCUGGGGAGUACGGCCGCAAGGCUG